Molecule: ribosomal RNA, 468 nt
Filed under: uncultured bacterium
Lineage: Bacteria
Description: partial 16S ribosomal RNA
Rfam family: Bacterial small subunit ribosomal RNA
Source: RNAcentral
GACGAACGCUGGCGGCGUGCUUAACACAUGCAAGUCGAACGGAAAGGCCCUGCUUUUGUGGGGUGCUCGAGUGGCGAACGGGUGAGUAACACGUGAGUAACCUGCCCUUGACUUUGGGAUAACUUCAGGAAACUGGGGCUAAUACCGGAUAGGAGCUCCUGCUGCAUGGUGGGGGUUGGAAAGUUUCGGCGGUUGGGGAUGGACUCGCGGCUUAUCAGCUUGUUGGUGGGGUAGUGGCUUACCAAGGCUUUGACGGGUAGCCGGCCUGAGAGGUUGACCGGCCACAAUGGGACUGAGAUACGGCCCAGACUCGUACGGGAGGCAGCAGUGGGGAAUAUUGCACAAUGGGCGGAAGCCUGAUGCAGCAACGCCGCGUGCGGGAUGACGGCCUUCGGGUUGUAAACCGCUUUCGCCUGUGACGAAGCGUGAGUGACGGUAAUGGGUAAAGAAGCACCGGCUAACUACGUG